UAUAGGGAAUACAAAAAAAAACUGGUUCAAGACGAGAAAAAAAAAACUAGAUUUGAGGUAAUAACAUAAGACAAAUACAAGACAAUAGAUAGUUUAGGUGGUGUCUCAAAGUCAGAAGGAAACAGAGAGAGAGGUGGGUUCUACUUCUAUGUAUGCCUAUUCGAUAGAAGUAUCUAUAAACACUUGAAGCAACAA
This is a long non-coding RNA of Brassica oleracea var. oleracea, 195 nucleotides long. RefSeq lists it as uncharacterized. Lineage: Eukaryota; Viridiplantae; Streptophyta; Magnoliopsida; Brassicales; Brassicaceae. The transcript has 2 exons. The record is from RefSeq and is a predicted model, not a curated record.